This 919-nucleotide long non-coding RNA is filed under the name Chlamydomonas reinhardtii. Its description in RNAcentral is "long non-coding RNA (CREI_LNC000891)". Lineage: Eukaryota; Viridiplantae; Chlorophyta; Chlorophyceae; Chlamydomonadales; Chlamydomonadaceae. The record is from RNAcentral.
CCAGGUGCGGCUCUUCAACUGUGUGUUUCCCGCCACGGUAGCACCGCCACCGGCGCAGCUAGCCCCCUAUCAUGCAGCUAUCACCCUAGCUAUCGCCUGCAGCGACUCGCCACAACGCGCAUGGGCCCAUCCUGGCGGCACAAACAUAGCUUCACAAAAGUCUCAAGUCGCUCCAACAUGCUUGGCCUUGGUCAAAAGGAGGCGCGUGCUUUGCUCAACAACUAGAUAAGCACGACUGCAACCACUGUGGACUGCAACUCUCCGCCACCGAACAGGACCCUCCGACGCAUGAGGCCUCCCUUGAGGUCUUGCUGCAAGGCUUCCUGGUGAGGCUCAGCCCCCGCCACGACCCCAGCAUACCGCCGCACGGUCUUGAAACAGAAGCGGGUUAUGUUUUGCGGCCGCUGCACCGUUUAGUGGUCACGGGGCCGGCGGCAGCUAGUGACCAAGGUGGAGGAAGCGCGGGAUUGGAGGUGGAGCUGUGCCGCCUAGAUGGCCUCCUACUGCUGAACAGUGAAUGGGAAUGGCCGGCUGCAGCAGCGACGGCAGACGCAGCAGGCCCCGGCGGACGGCGUGGCGCAGAUGUCGUGAUUCCUCCGCCGGGCAUUGGGCCUGGCUGUAACGCAGCCUGUGGCGGGGACGGCGCGCAAGGUGCCCCAGCUUCAGCAGCCUCACAACCAAGCUGCGCAUGUAGCAAAUGUCGGUACCUCGCCUGGCGGGGGGUGCUUCGGCUGCCGCUGGAGCGGCUUUGGCCGGAAAGGGAGGAGCCGGGCGAUUCAAAACUUCAGUGGCAGGACUCUUGGUGAGCACGGGCUCUGAUUUUGAUUGUGGGUGACUGUGGCGAUGCGCACUUUAACUGUCUUUUAUGGUAGCAUUUCUCUUCAAGACGCGUAUUGCCAUGAAACGUCGUCUCUGCAGG